This 231-nucleotide unclassified non-coding RNA is filed under the name fungal sp. Its description in RNAcentral is "partial internal transcribed spacer region". The stretch from base 1 to 48 matches the Rfam family "Eukaryotic small subunit ribosomal RNA", at positions 1784 to 1831 of the family's 1831-position model. Lineage: Eukaryota; Fungi. The record is from RNAcentral.
AAAAGUCGUAACAAGGUUUCCGUAGGUGAACCUGCGGAAGGAUCAUUCACAAAAAAGUGUUCAAUGGCACUUUAAAUCCAUUACCCACCUUGUGUGCAUUGUCAGGAGGGAAGAUUUCCCCUUGGGAUUUCUUUCCUCUUUUUCAUUCCACUCUUUCUUAAACAUCAGUCUACAUCAAUUGAGAAUUAAAAAUCUCUAAUACAACUUUCAACAACGGAUCUCUUGGCUCUC